UACGUAGGGUGCGAGCGUUAAUCGGAGUUACUGGGCGUAAAGCGCACGCAGGCGGUCUGCUAAGUUUGGAGUGACAGUUGGUGGCUUAACUGCCAAAGUGCUUCGAAAACUGACAGACUUGAGGGCUUCAGAGGGACACGGAAUUCCGGGUGGAGUGGUGAAAUGCGUAGAGAUCCGGAGGAACACCAAAGGCGAAGGCAGUGUCCUGGGGAGUACCUGACGCUCAGGUGCGAAAGCCAGGGGAGCGAACGGG
This 253-nucleotide ribosomal RNA is filed under the name uncultured bacterium. RNAcentral describes it as "partial 16S ribosomal RNA". It matches the Rfam family "Bacterial small subunit ribosomal RNA", at positions 524 to 776 of the family's 1533-position model. The record is from RNAcentral.